Long non-coding RNA from Lepidothrix coronata (blue-crowned manakin), 999 nucleotides. RefSeq lists it as uncharacterized. The record is from RefSeq and is a predicted model, not a curated record. Lineage: Eukaryota; Metazoa; Chordata; Aves; Passeriformes; Pipridae. The transcript has 4 exons.
UAUUUUCACAAGCAUGUUACACACUCUCAAAUGGUUUGUUGUUCAAAAACUUUCAGUCUCAUGUUGCUUCUGAUCAAAGUAUCAAUAUGAAGUUUCUGACAUUUGAGUUUUUUCACUUUAUAUUGCAAACCGAGUCCUCCCAUGAAAUUAUGCCUGAAUGGAACUGAAUAGUAUGAAUUUAGGCAUUUAUACCUAAUGCUGUGGCAACUGGAAUGCAUCGAAAUGAUUAUUAGAAAGGUGACUGGACAGAGAAGAUUGCUUGAGUGACCAAAGUGAGAAAAACCAAGGAGCAGAACCACUGUCCCAGUGGAGAACCCUAAGGAGGAAGACUGGAUACCCAUAUUUUGUAGCUGGCACCCUCCCCUUAAGUCUGGGAGUAAGUCACUCUGGCAAAGAAGCAGCAUUUCCAGAAGAUGCUGGGAUUUGUCCUCAGGAGCUGAUGCACCUUCACCUACCCACAAUGAACCCAGAGUCCAGCUUUAACUCUGCAUUGAACUGUCUGGAACGGAAGUACAAAUUUUCCUCCUUCUGGAAUAAUAUUGUCCACUUCUUGAGAUAGGGUAUUGGAUUUGUUGAUUCUUGGCUCUGACCUAGUAUGGAUAUUCUUAUCCUCCUUACAUCAGGAUGCUAUAUCAUUGGUGGGUCCUUUAGGGAAUGGAGAUAGAGAAAGCAGAACAUAUUUUACUUGGAAUUUUUUAUAUCUAAAUUUAUCCCUCAAUGCACAUGAACACAUGAAAUAAGGGGUACCCAAGUCAUGUUCUUUCUUUGCAUGCCAUCUUCACUUUAAAAAUAUCGUGUUUUAAUGAUCCUAACAAAUAAUCUCAAAGUAAUUACAUCUUCAUGUAGCAGACUGUCUUUUCUUUCUCUUGAGGAAUGCAGCUACUUUCAAGCAAAAAAUCAGCUUUGUGUCAUAGGGAGAUAAGUAGCAGAAAAACUGCAAAUACAGUGCAAUUGCUAGUGAUUGGUUGUUAGAGUCAUUUUAGAGGCCAAAAACAUCUU